This 472-nucleotide ribosomal RNA is filed under the name uncultured bacterium. RNAcentral's name for it is "bacterial SSU rRNA". It matches the Rfam family "Bacterial small subunit ribosomal RNA", at positions 329 to 793 of the family's 1533-position model. The record is from RNAcentral.
CUAAACACUCCUACGGGAGGCAGCAGUGGGGAAUAUUGCACAAUGGGCGCAAGCCUGAUGCAGCCAUGCCGCGUGUAUGAAGAAGGCCUUCGGGUUGUAAAGUACUUUCAGCAGUGAGGAAGGCGGAGUCGUUAAUAGCGGCCUCGUUUGACGUUAGCUGCAGAAGAAGCACCGGCUAACUCCGUGCCAGCAGCCGCGGUAAUACGGAGGGUGCGAGCGUUAAUCGGAAUUACUGGGCGUAAAGCGCAUGCAGGUGGUUUGUUAAGUCAGAUGUGAAAGCCCGGGGCUCAACCUCGGAAUUGCAUUUGAAACUGGCAGACUAGAGUACUGUAGAGGGGGUAGAAUUUCAGGUGUAGCGGUGAAAAUGCGUAGAGAUCUGAAGGAAUACCGGUGGCGAAGGCGGCCCCCUGGACAGAUACUGACACUCAGAUGCGAAAGCGUGGGGAGCAAACAGGAUUAGAUACCCUGGUAG